UCCUUGUUGCCUGCAGUUCACAUUAUUGAAAGAGAGAGGAAAGAAAGUCAGAGAGUCUCACAAGAGCCUCACGCUGUGUGUGAAAUAGCCUGAAAAUGUUAUUUAGGAGACAUCCAGGGACCCUCCGGCACGAGCCUAGGGUAGGCAAAACUGGACUUUAAGGACCGCCUGGCUGGCUGGGCAUUUUCCGAAGCGGGGUGCCUGGGACUGAGACUUAGCGCACACACCCAGCGCAUCUCCAGCGAGUGACGGCGGAGAUGGAGCGGUCCCGGGCUACGCAAGAACCCUCCGUGUCGGGGUGGUAAACUGAGCGCACAGCUGGAGCACGACCCCGGGACAUCAAGAGAGGUGACCUCACUUGGUGCCAGAGGACUGAUUGUUCCAUAGGGGACUAACCCUCCCAGUGUGCCAGCGCAAGGACCAUGGGAGCACAAAGGAGCCCAGUGAGGUGCAGGAACCAGCCAAGAGAGCACUGCCCCUCGGACUGUUCUCCCAGCAGGCCCCAGGUACCAUCCGGAGCAGGAGAGCAGGGCAGCCGCCCCUGACAGCACAGGCACCACCUCUGAGGCCUGGUUUCUAUGCAAGGAGAACUCAACCUGCAGAAUCACCAGUGGGCCCUCAGGAUUUCGACUGAGCCUGGAGGAUCCUGGGCAGGACAAAGACACUUGACGGUGAGGGUCAGUGAGUACUCAAUAGAACCUUGGAAUA
This is an RNA transcript of Oryctolagus cuniculus (rabbit), 708 nucleotides long. RefSeq lists it as uncharacterized. NCBI's taxonomy places the organism in Eukaryota, Metazoa, Chordata, Mammalia, Lagomorpha, Leporidae. The record is from RefSeq and is a predicted model, not a curated record.